RNAcentral lists this unclassified non-coding RNA (248 nucleotides) under Dendryphiella paravinosa. RNAcentral's name for it is "partial contains 5.8S ribosomal RNA, internal transcribed spacer 2, and large subunit ribosomal RNA". The record is from RNAcentral. Lineage: Eukaryota; Fungi; Ascomycota; Dothideomycetes; Pleosporales; Dictyosporiaceae.
CGCACAUUGCGCCCCUUGGUAUUCCAUUGGGCAUGCCUGUUCGAGCGUCAUUUACACCUUCAAGCUCUGCUUGGUGUUGGGCGUCUGUUCGCACGUUAGGUGUGGACUCGCCCCAAAAUCAUUGGCAGCGGCUCCUGUCAGCUUCUUGCGCAGCACUUGCGCUUCUAGAAGUUUUGGCUAGGGCUAGCAUCCACUAAGAACCCCCCAAGUUUGACCUCGAAUCAGGUAGGGAUACCCGCUGAACUUAA